GGAGGUAGCUCAGCAGUACAGCAUCUGCCUGGCAAGUGGGAGUCCCUGAGUUCAAGUCCCAGUACCACCU
Molecule: transfer RNA, 70 nt
Filed under: Heterocephalus glaber (naked mole-rat)
Lineage: Eukaryota; Metazoa; Chordata; Mammalia; Rodentia; Bathyergidae
Rfam family: tRNA
About the family: Transfer RNA (tRNA) molecules are approximately 80 nucleotides in length. Their secondary structure includes four short double-helical elements and three loops (D, anti-codon, and T loops).
Source: Rfam by way of RNAcentral